This is a non-coding RNA of Chlorocebus sabaeus (green monkey), 317 nucleotides long. Lineage: Eukaryota; Metazoa; Chordata; Mammalia; Primates; Cercopithecidae. The record is from RefSeq and is a predicted model, not a curated record.
GGUGCCCAGCCCCAGUACACGAGAAGAUGGGGCCCUUCCUGAUGCCCUCGUCUCCUGCAUUGAGCUAUGUGAGCUCUUGUGCCCAGCAGACCCCCUUGCAUUGACCGGCAUAGAUGUUGAACCUUGAGGAAGACUUGUAUUGGGCCCAAUGGCCCUGGGCCAGUGUCUGUCAGUCAGGUGCCCAGCCCCAGUACACCGAAGAUGGGGCCCUUCCUGAUGCCCUCGUCUCCUGCAUUGAGCUAUGUGAGCUCUUGUGCCCAGCAGACCCCCUUACAUUGACCGGCAUAGGUGAGUGGAUCCUGCUGGGGUCAUGGCAA